Molecule: long non-coding RNA, 1108 nt
Filed under: Rattus norvegicus (Norway rat)
Lineage: Eukaryota; Metazoa; Chordata; Mammalia; Rodentia; Muridae
Description: long non-coding RNA NONRATT012508
Source: RNAcentral
AUGCUGGCUCCCUUAGGUGACUGCAGACGUUUUUAGGGCAGAGCAUGCAGUAGAGUGUUUCACCUUUUCCCUUUAUGCAAGCUUGUCCCCAUCAUCCACAAUUCUGGGAUGAUCGGCUUGUGAAUAGCCACAGGUUUCGUUGGCACAGAGGCACCUGGUAUAUAUGCUUCUGUCUUUCCUGGGCCCCUGAUUUUGGAGGAUCUCCUGCCCUCUUCUGGCGUACAGAGCCUGAGGAUAGGAAAACACUUAGCAACUGAGGUGGGUUGGGGAGGAUGGCAGUACAGUUCAAGGGAAAACUCCAGAACCAGUGAGACAUCUGUGUGCUCAGCAUGCUCUUUACAUGUCCAGUGCUGUCAGGACUGAGGUGUAUGCCUGCCAGGAUCAGUCUCCUAGUCAGUCGGUUGUGACCACCAGCAUUCCUUGCUCCUUUGUGAAGCAUUUCCUAAGCUGGGUGCUGACUUAGCCAUUGGCUUAAUAGUGCUAGAAUGUCUGCCUGUAGCUGUUCAGUGUGGUCAUUCAUCCUCCUGCACCACUGCUUGGUGCCCAAGUACAGCUCAGGCUGUCCUCAAUGCAGGGAGUUCCCGUGAGGCGCCAGCAGGGGCUGCCAGACACUAGUUCAGUUUCCUUUCCAGGUGCUGCACUGUGCCCCUUCAUGGCCAGUCCUCCAGGAACUUUACCUCAAGUCUAACGGUAUUUCCAUUUCAGAAAGGCCAGUGAAUGCCCUGCAGAACCUGAGGUUACUAGACCUUUCUUCCAACCCAUCAAUUGAUGAAAGCCAGCUGUGCCUGAUAGCAUAUCUCCCAAGAUUAGAACACCUACUCCUUUCUGACAUUGGACUUUCUUCUAUACAUUUUCCAGAUGCUGAAAUUGGUAAAUAAGAUUAGUAAUGUCCCUCCCUCCUUGUUAGCUGUUUCUUUCACUCCUACUGUGCAGUUUCAUUUUUAUUGUUUUAGGGUGCAAAACAUCCAUGUUCCCGGCCUUGACGUACCUCAUAGUCAAUGACAACCAGAUAUCAGAAUGGUCAUUUAUCAAUGAGCUGGAUAAAUUACAGAGCCUGCAGGCCCUGUCCUGUGCUAGAAACCCUUUGACCAAAGGAGACAAAGCAGAG